UGGGGAAUUUUGCACAAUGGGGGCAACCCUGAUGCAGCGACGCCGCGUGAUUUAGAAGGCCUUCGGGUUGUAAAAAUCUUUUGUAUAGGAAGAAAAUGACAGUACUAUACGAAUAAGGUCCGGCUAAUUACGUGCCAGCAGCCGCGGUAAUACGUAAGGACCGAGCGUUGUCCGGAAUCAUUGGGCGUAAAGGGUACGUAGGCGGUUAAAAAAGUUAGAAGUGAAAGGCUAUAGCUCGACUAUAGUAAGCUUUUAAAACUGUUUAACUUGAGAGAUGGAAGGGAAAGUGGAAUUCCCAGUGUAGCGGUGAAAUGCGCAGAUAUUAGGAGGAAUACAGGUGGCGAAGGCGACUUUCUGGCCAUUAUCUGACGAUGAGGUACGAAAGCGUGGGUAGCAAACAGG
This 402-nucleotide ribosomal RNA is filed under the name Actinomycetes bacterium. Its description in RNAcentral is "Actinobacteria bacterium partial 16S ribosomal RNA". It matches the Rfam family "Bacterial small subunit ribosomal RNA", at positions 355 to 776 of the family's 1533-position model. Lineage: Bacteria; Bacillati; Actinomycetota; Actinomycetes. The record is from RNAcentral.